UUUAAAAUCGAUAAUCUUAAACGUAAAUCGUGUAAAGAGAGCAUGAGAUGUUAGUACACAAGCCAUAGCCCCUACUGCCAUUCCCCUUCUUUACCUAACCACAGGACAUCCCAAGUGAAAGCUUCUUGCUUGAUAACUAGUAUAACUAGGGAAUUUAUCAUAAUUAAUAAUGUCAAACACACGAAUUUAAGUAACGUUGUUCCUACUAUAGAUCAUAGAUCUCAGGGUCAAAAAGAAAGGAAUCAUG
This 247-nucleotide long non-coding RNA is filed under the name Carica papaya (papaya). Its description in RNAcentral is "long non-coding RNA (CPAP_LNC003483)". The record is from RNAcentral. Lineage: Eukaryota; Viridiplantae; Streptophyta; Magnoliopsida; Brassicales; Caricaceae.